This 1220-nucleotide ribosomal RNA is filed under the name Microascus intricatus. RNAcentral's name for it is "LSU rRNA". It matches the Rfam family "Eukaryotic large subunit ribosomal RNA", at positions 36 to 1124 of the family's 3401-position model. The record is from RNAcentral. Lineage: Eukaryota; Fungi; Ascomycota; Sordariomycetes; Microascales; Microascaceae.
UAGCAUAUCAAUAAGCGGMSGRAWAGAMACCAACAGGRRUWKSCCCCAGUAACGGCGAGUGAAGCGGCAACAGCUCAAAUUUGAAAUCUGGCCCCCCCCGCGGGGUCCGAGUUGUAAUUUGAAGAGGAUGCUUCUGGCGAGGCGCCGUCCGAGUUCCCUGGAACGGGACGCCGCAGAGGGUGAGAGCCCCGUACGGUCGGACGCCGAGCCUAUGUGAAGCUCCUUCGACGAGUCGAGUAGUUUGGGAAUGCUGCUCAAAAUGGGAGGUAAACCCCUUCUAAAGCUAAAUACCGGCCAGAGACCGAUAGCGCACAAGUAGAGUGAUCGAAAGAUGAAAAGCACUUUGAAAAGAGAGUUAAAAAGCACGUGAAAUUGUUGAAAGGGAAGCGCUUGCGACCAGACUCGCGCCCGUCGGAUCAGCCGUCGCUCGUCGGCGGCGCACUCCGGCGGGCUCGGGCCAGCAUCGGUUCGCCUCGGGGGGAGAAAGGCGGCGGGAAUGUGGCUCUACGGAGUGUUAUAGCCCGCCGUGCAAUACCCCCGGGCGGACCGAGGACCGCGCGUAUGCAAGGAUGCUGGCGUAAUGGUCGUCAGCGACCCGUCUUGAAACACGGACCAAGGAGUCGUCCUAAUAUGCGAGUGUUCGGGUGUAAAACCCCUGCGCGUAAUGAAAGUGAACGGAGGUGAGAGCUUCGGCGCAUCAUCGACCGAUCCUGAUGUUCUCGGAUGGAUUUGAGUAAGAGCAUAUUGGGCCGGACCCGAAAGAAGGUGAACUAUGCCUGUAUAGGGUARAGCCAGAGGAAACUCUGGUGGAGGCUCGCAGCGGYUCUGACGUGCAAAUCGAUCGUCAAAUAUGGGCAUGGGGSGMGAARRACUAAUCGAACCUUCUAGUAGCUGGGUUUCCGCCGAGCCCCCCCCYYYYCGSARAACCKYGGGAGAUAAAACCGGUUUCUAUGAAUGCUUCCAUCCACUCUCUUUGCCCCCAUGACGCAUGAUAUUGACCAUUCGAUACUGCCGUUCCAGAACCCGCCCUGCUAGCUCUCAGAGGUUUUCUACCCGCAUUUUACCUAUACGUGACUAGCUUAGUGUCUUGUGCGGGCUCGCAUCUGCAUCUCACUCAAAAUCAGUGAACGUCGCAAGUCAUGACGCAAGCUCUAACUAUUCUUGUGCAUACGCUGUGCCCAUGUGAUCUCAAGUCGCAAUUCAACGAGCAACCUGAUGUC